GGGCUCGUAGCUCAGCUUGGUAGAGCAUCUGCCUUUUAAGCAGGUGGUCGUGGGUUCAAAUCCCACCGGGCCCA
This 74-nucleotide transfer RNA is filed under the name Candidatus Woesearchaeota archaeon. Its description in RNAcentral is "tRNA-Lys". It matches the Rfam family "tRNA". From Rfam's summary of the family: Transfer RNA (tRNA) molecules are approximately 80 nucleotides in length. Their secondary structure includes four short double-helical elements and three loops (D, anti-codon, and T loops). Further hydrogen bonds mediate the characteristic L-shaped molecular structure. tRNAs have two regions of fundamental functional importance: the anti-codon, which is responsible for specific mRNA codon recognition, and the 3' end, to which the tRNAs corresponding amino acid is attached (by aminoacyl-tRNA synthetases). tRNAs cope with the degeneracy of the genetic code in two manners: having more than one tRNA (with a specific anti-codon) for a particular amino acid; and 'wobble' base-pairing, i.e. permitting non-standard base-pairing at the 3rd anti-codon position. The record is from RNAcentral. Lineage: Archaea; Nanobdellati; Candidatus Woesearchaeota.